RNAcentral lists this ribosomal RNA (460 nucleotides) under uncultured bacterium. RNAcentral describes it as "partial 16S ribosomal RNA". It matches the Rfam family "Bacterial small subunit ribosomal RNA", at positions 338 to 795 of the family's 1533-position model. The record is from RNAcentral.
CCUACGGGUGGCAGCAGUGAGGAAUAUUGGUCAAUGGACGCAAGUCUGAACCAGCCAUGCAGCGUGCAGGAUGACGGCUCUAUGAGUUGUAAACUGCUUUUGUACGAGGGUAAACGCCGAUACGUGUAUCUUUCUGAAAGUAUCGUACGAAUACGGAUCGGCUAACUCCGUGCCAGCAGCCGCGGUAAUACGGAGGAUUCAAGCGUUAUCCGGAUUUAUUGGGUUUAAAGGGUGCGUAGGCCGUCGGUUAAGUUAGAGGUGAAAUCCCGGGGCUCAACUUCGGAACUGCCGCUGAUACUGUUCGGCUAGAGAGUAGUGGCGGUAGGCGGAAUGUGUGGUGUAGCGGUGAAAUGCUUAGAGAUCAUACAGAACACCGAUUGCGAAGGCAGCUUACCAAGCUACUUCUGACGUUGAGGCACGAAAGCGUGGGGAGCGAACAGGAUUAUAUACCCCGGUAGUC